UACGUAGGGUGCAAGCGUUGUCCGGAAUCACUGGGCGUAAAGGGUGCGUAGGCGGGUCUUUAAGUCAGGGGUGAAAUCCUGGAGCUCAACUCCAGAACUGCCUUUGAUACUGAAGAUCUUGAGUUCGGGAGAGGUGAGUGGAACUGCGAGUGUAGAGGUGAAAUUCGUAGAUAUUCGCAAGAACACCAGUGGCGAAGGCGGCUCACUGGCCCGGUACUGACGCUGAGGUGCGAAAGCGUGGGGAGCAAACAGG
Molecule: ribosomal RNA, 253 nt
Filed under: uncultured bacterium
Lineage: Bacteria
Description: partial 16S ribosomal RNA
Rfam family: Bacterial small subunit ribosomal RNA
Source: RNAcentral